UACGUAGGGCGCAAGCGUUGUCCGGAAUUAUUGGGCGUAAAGAGCUCGUAGGUGGCUUGUCACGUCGGGUGUGAAAGCUUGGGGCUUAACUCCAGGUCUGCAUUCGAUACGGGCUGGCUAGAGGUAGGUAGGGGAGAACGGAAUUCCUGGUGUAGCGGUGAAAUGCGCAGAUAUCAGGAGGAACACCGGUGGCGAAGGCGGUUCUCUGGGCCUUACCUGACGCUGAGGAGCGAAAGCGUGGGGAGCGAAC
Molecule: ribosomal RNA, 250 nt
Filed under: uncultured prokaryote
Description: partial 16S ribosomal RNA
Rfam family: Bacterial small subunit ribosomal RNA
Source: RNAcentral